GCCCUCUCUGCCUGCUCCAGCCCAUUGAACAGCGUCAACUCGUCUCCCUUCACAGUAAUGACAGUGCCAUCGGUGGGAGUGUGAGGAUGCUCUCGGAUUAGAAAGGGAAAGUCUCUUUGUUGUUUUUUGUAAAUGGGGAUUUACUUCAGGGUUAUUUGAAUGCUGCUAUGGUUUGUAGGACUUGCAGAUUCUAAGUAUCUUUUAAUUGGAGAGCAUUGCUUGAGGCUCCACGGCAAAGGUAUUUGGGUUUCUUUGUUUUAAACAAGAUGAAUAAACAAAGAGGAACUGGGUGCUGAGGGCCUUCAAGCACCGACGUUCUUCAAAGUUUGUUGAAGAUUGCAACUGGCUGGGGCUUCCCUGAAUCUGUCUGUAAUGAGUUGGAAUACCUGGUAUAUGUUAUGAAGCCACAGUUGAUUUUCUUUCUGGAUGUUUCCAUUGUGGCACGCCAAUUUUCCAAAGCAGCUUCACAGUGCACCGUGGUAAUCCCAUUUUACAGAGCAGAACAAGUAAGGUGAUGUUUCUUGGGUAAGACAACCGAGAACAGGAUUACUGACUAUAAGUUUGUGAAUCUUCUCACGGGUGAUAUUUAUUCCUCUGAAACCUAGACAGACCUGAGUUGGAAUCACACCAGCUCCACUUUCACUCAUCCAUUCAUCCAACAAGUCUUUAUUGAGCGUUUUCCACAAGCCUGAUGCUACUAAAUGCUGAGAACACACAAAGAAGCCCAAGUCUCAGCUUUCAGGAAGCUCAUAUUCUAAUUGGGUUGACCACUACAGACAAGUCAAUAAAUAAGAGGAAAACUUCAAGUUAUGAUAAGGACAGUGGAGUAAAAUACCAGGGUUGUGGGAAUAAGACUAACUUGGUGAUGGCGAGGGUCACAACUUUUUUGAGGAAGUAACAAUUAAGUUGAGUGUCAAAGGAAAAGAAGAAACCAGCCGGUUGAGGACUGAAGAGAGAGCAUCACACACACACAAAGGCUCUCAGAUGAAAGAAACGCAGCUUGAACUGGUCAAAGCAGAAAGAAAAAUUACUGGCCAACGUAAUGAGAAAACAAGAGUGGAGCUGAGCUUCAGGCAUGGCGAGAGAUAACAGCGAAGCCCUCAGCCGUCCUCAGUGCCUCCCGGGCCUCCAAGAGGAAGAAUUGUAAUAACAAUUGUGAACUUCUUUGGCCUCCUCCAAAGGAAAGGGUGAGGUAGAAAGAAAUGGUCUCAAAGCUCGGGCUGUCUGGUUCCAGCCCACACUUCACAACCUCGCUGCUACGCCAUGAGUCAUCGCGAAGAGCAACAUCACUUCCCUCUGACUGUGGGCGUUGCCACUCUCCUGAGCCUUCCUUGGCCAGGAGCGCCUCUGUGGCCCGCUUCACUCCCCAUCAGGGAUUAGCUGAGCCAUCUCUGAGACUGCAUGAUGUGCUGGUCACUGAACAUUGGAUGUCCAACUGCUCUGUUGAAGAAUAGCAUCAACAAUGAUGUGAAUUUUCUCUUCCAUUGUCCCAUUCAGUCCUAGAUUUUUUCAUUUCCUUCUUGUUCAAGAUAAUGAGGUCCUAUCAUGCCAAGCACAUGGAAACAUUAAAAUUUUGUCAGUCUCUGUUAAUAAUGAAUAAAUAUGUAUCAAAG
This is a long non-coding RNA of Equus caballus (horse), 1613 nucleotides long. NCBI's taxonomy places the organism in Eukaryota, Metazoa, Chordata, Mammalia, Perissodactyla, Equidae. The record is from Ensembl.